UAGUUAAUAACGUUUCUGAAAGUUUUCCUGAAGUUCACUUGUUUGCUGUGAAGAAUUGGGUGGAAUUAGCGCGCUAUCUCAGAGGGUCGUAUUUUGUUUCACAUCAAAGGAGGAGCUUGCUAACGUUAACUUCCGACCUCUGCCCGGGUAACGUUAGCUACUAGCUAACACCGGCAACACCCCCUAUUUUAAAGUAGUCCUAGUGGUAGCCACGUCUAUAGACCGCUAACUAGCCAUUUCAACAUAAACUAUGCUCAUGUGGUUAUGUUCAUCUUUCUCUCUUUUUCCAUUGACGUCAUCAGCAGCUGCGACAGCUCUGCUGAGCACCAGAAGAAGGCCCACGAUGAAGAAAAGCCUCAGCGGGGACUCAAAAGAGUUUGCCCUGGGAGUCCAAGCCCAGCAGCUCCUCACCCCAAAUCUCCCUGCAGACACACUCCUGCCUCCACCAACAUCCAGAUGUCAGAAACAACAGAGGUACAGAUGGAGCCGUGUUUUGGAGAAGAGGGGCAUCAAAGGGAUCCUGAGGGGGGUGUUCUAACAGAGGGUCGGUCGUUGAGCCCCAGCAGCGCGCGAAGGAAAUCCUGGAGGAGGUCGACCAGGGACCGACGCUCUCUCCCUUCCCUCCCCAACACCUCCCAGACUAUAUGCAGGUCAAUCAGCCAAUCCCUACCAGAGGAGGAGAGGCUAGAGAAACUGAUGGAGGCUUCUAUGAGGCUGGCAGUCAAGAAGUUACAAGACUCACUGAGCAUGACACCCAACGGCAGUUUAGAGUCACUUCAGACGCAAGUGGAGGCAGUACAGAAGGGGUGGUGUUGCCUGGCCAAAGACCGACGCAGUGAGCCGCAGUGUCAGCAACCUCCCACUAGCACAGCCAGUGACACUGCAAUGCAGAACACCAUGGAGCAGACCAGGAAGGCUAUACACAGGCUGCAGGCUGAGAGGGCAUCUUGGGAGUCCCUGUUAGACAAGCACCGGAGUAAAGCUGAAGAAUUGGCCAGGCAAGUGGAGCAGUGCCAGGAGAAGGGGGUGAUGUUAGACGCUAGCUGCCUGGCCCAGUCCUCACAGAGCCAGCUCAUCCAGAACAAACCUGAUUACCACAGCCUGCUCUGCAGACAGCAGACUGUACUGUCCACUAUGGACAUAGUGGGAGACCAGAUGAGAACAAGUUCUCAUUUACAACUACGACCUGGCCAAGAUAAAGCAAAGCAGUGCGACACAAACAACACAUGGGAUAAACAAACAUGGACACCCAGUGUAAGAUGAUCAGGGAGCUGCUGUCCAUACAGGAACAGUCUCAGCUACUGGUGAAGGAGACAAGCAGGAGAUUGGCGGCUGAUGUGGGAUUCCAGGAUCUCUCCUCUGACCCAGUCAGGGAUCUACUGGCAGGACCCGUAUCCUCUGUAUCAACCAACACAUCAUCCACUGUAUCAUUCUAGUACCUCUGUUUUAGGGUUAUCACAAUACAGUAUCAUGGUACAACCAAACUAGAUUUUUCAUGUCAAAAAAAGAUAACUAAGCAAACUGAAUUCUGGCUUUGUACAAGCAGGACAAAGCACACCUUUAAUAGCACAGACUCUAUUGUGACCUUUGGUCUCGUCCAGGUUCACUCAGUGAAUGACCUAUGAGAAAGAUCAGUCUGGCUUUUUCUGUAUUUCCAGUAUUUAUGUCAUGUCUUAACUCUGUACCCAUGGCUCCCUAACUUAGCUGUUUUCUGUGGUGCCUUGUGUGGUUGUGUUUGUAAAUAAGUCUCUAUGGUAUCUUUCUUCAUGGGAUAAAUGUGGAUUAUUUCAACUAUAACUUUCUAUCUAUUCUAAUUCUAUUCCACCACUAUACUCUUUUAGUCCUCCUAAAUGGCACCCCAUUCCUUAUAUAGUGCACUACUUUUGACCAUCUGUAUAGGUUAUAGUGUGCCAUUUGGGACGGAGGCCGGUCUCCCUACAAAACGUAUGCCGGUCUCCCUACAAAACGUAUGCUGUUGGCCACCAGAGGGCGAUCUCACCCUUUAUUUAAAUAGCUAAUGAAUAUUCACCUACAGUAAAAGAUGUAGAAAAUAUUCACUUGCAGUGGAUGCAUUUUGGAGUUAAUUUGUAAGAUACCUGCUUUCCUUUAUUUUCCUGUACAGUCUUGUCUGUUUUUCUUGUAAUUUUUUUUUAUGAUUUACUUUUUUAUUUAUUUAUUAUUAAACAGUAAUUAUCUGAA
RNA transcript from Salmo salar (Atlantic salmon), 2199 nucleotides. It is a transcript of the gene named kinetochore-associated protein DSN1 homolog, with no coding region annotated. The record is from RefSeq and is a predicted model, not a curated record. Lineage: Eukaryota; Metazoa; Chordata; Actinopteri; Salmoniformes; Salmonidae.